This 253-nucleotide ribosomal RNA is filed under the name uncultured bacterium. RNAcentral describes it as "partial 16S ribosomal RNA". It matches the Rfam family "Bacterial small subunit ribosomal RNA", at positions 524 to 776 of the family's 1533-position model. The record is from RNAcentral.
UACGUAGGGUGCAAGCGUUGUCCGGAAUUAUUGGGCGUAAAGAGCUCGUAGGCGGUUCGUCACGUCGGCUGUGAAAUCCCGAGGCUCAACCUCGGGUCUGCAGUCGAUACGGGCGGACUUGAGUACUGCAGGGGAGACUGGAAUUCCUGGUGUAGCGGUGAAAUGCGUAGAUAUCUGGAGGAACACCGGUGGCGAAGGCGGCGUCCUGGACCAAUACUGACACUGAGGAGCGAAAGCCAGGGGAGCAAACGGG